GACGAACGCUGGCGGCGUGCUUAACACAUGCAAGUCGAACGGAAAGGCCCUGCUUUUGUGGGGUGCUCGAGUGGCGAACGGGUGAGUAACACGUGAGUAACCUGCCCUUGACUUUGGGAUAACUUCAGGAAACUGGGGCUAAUACCGGAUAGGAGCUCCUGCUGCAUGGUGGGGGUUGGAAAGUUUCGGCGGUUGGGGAUGGACUCGCGGCUUAUCAGCUUGUUGGUGGGGUAGUGGCUUACCAAGGCUUUGACGGGUAGCCGGCCUGAGAGGGUGACCGGCCACAUUGGGACUGAGAUACGGCCCGGACUCCUACGGGAGGCAGCAGUGGGGAAUAUUGCACAAUGGGCGGAAGCCUGAUGCAGCAACGCCGCGUGCGGGAUGACGGCCUUCGGGUUGUAAACCGCUUUCGCCUGUGACGAGGCGUGAGUGACGGUAAUGGGUAAAGAAGCACCGGCUAACUACGUG
RNAcentral lists this ribosomal RNA (468 nucleotides) under uncultured bacterium. Its description in RNAcentral is "partial 16S ribosomal RNA". It matches the Rfam family "Bacterial small subunit ribosomal RNA", at positions 28 to 507 of the family's 1533-position model. The record is from RNAcentral.